Molecule: non-coding RNA, 18 nt
Filed under: Arabidopsis thaliana (thale cress)
Lineage: Eukaryota; Viridiplantae; Streptophyta; Magnoliopsida; Brassicales; Brassicaceae
Source: RNAcentral
UCGAACCCAACACCUCCA